Nelumbo nucifera (sacred lotus) is the source of this 45-nucleotide non-coding RNA. The record is from Rfam. Lineage: Eukaryota; Viridiplantae; Streptophyta; Magnoliopsida; Proteales; Nelumbonaceae.
AUAAAGGCAUUUUUAAAUGCCACUAAAAAGUCUUAAUGAUUCCAU